CGGGGCGUCUCGGAGACCCUAGUCUUCACCCGGCCCACGAGCCUGGCAAGUCCACCGACCGAUCCCUAAGCCGGGUCUUUCUCUUGGAAACCUCGUCAGCAUCCUGCCUGACGUCUUAUGAGAUUUAUUAAAGCCCUAAGAACAACGAGGCUGAUAUCUGAGAUACUCAUUGAAGGCCCGGGAGAAUUAGGUACAGAUGAUGGCACUGUUGAAAAAUCACAAACGAAGCCAAUUUGAGCAAGAACUGUGUUGGUCCUUGGAGCGGGCUGGAGGCCCUUGGGUGAGAAAAACAGCCACAUCCAGGAUUGGGAGGAUUUACUACUUCCAAAGACAGAUAAAUUAAUAGAAAUUGCAAAAGAUAUAAAAGUAUGGGGUGGACAGGUUUAUUACUGUACACGGUGAUUUUCUUUUUUAACGUGCUGUAACUUGUAGCCAUUUUUAUUAAUGGGCCAAUCUAAACAGGGUUGAAAGAUUAACUGUGACUCCACCCCAAGUCACAAUAGGAUCCUGUACUUCUCUUUUUAUAGCUGUGAAGACUGGGAAUCAUUCUUGGCUCAGUGUAAUGUUUAUAAGGCAUGGCUCAUCUCAUUGAAUGAAAUUUUUUAAAAAAGAGUUUGAAGUUUGAGUUUAUGAUAGCAAUAAAAGUACUCUAUAUUCCUGGAUUAAAGUUGCUUUAAUUAAUGAGAAAAGUAAGCCAGCCAAAAGAAACUGGUGACAAUUUAAGAAGAGUAUUGAAAAACCACUGCAAUACUUGCCAGGGCCAUGCCACUCUACAGUUCAAACAUUUGCACACCCAAUUCGUUUAACCUUCACAACACUCAUGUGAGGGCAGCAUAGAGGCUGUCCUUAUUUUAUGGAUGAGAAAACCAAAGCUCAAAGAAACUAAGUGAUGGUCCAGGUUCUCAUAAGAACCGAGUGGUUGAGAAGACCUCUGGAACCAGCAGCCAUCCUAACUGCAUGGACUGAACUUUGAAAGACUAUUGCUCAGCACUCUUCACCUUAUCCAUUCAGAUAAGAUCACGAAGAUGGACGAAUAUGCUGAGCUGACUCAUUCCCCUCAGUAUAGAGCAGUCAUCUUCGUGGUGACAUUCAUCCUGACGAUGCUAAACAGGUUGACAUAUGGUGUCAGAAGUGAGAUUGGAAGUGAUCUCACCUUCAUGGACUGGCAUUCCCUGGAAAUGUGUUUAAUACCAACAUGAGCCCCUUUGUGUGUUCAGCUGCUUCCAAGGACAGCUGACUCCUCCAAUUGUGGGACCCCUCAGAAAUGGUGUGCACUGCCUGCGGAGGCCAGGAAGUCACCUGAGAAAUCCACGCCCAUGAAGCCACGUGAGCCUGCAUUAGCCUACUGAAUGACGUCAGCUGGAGAGAAGCAGCCAACAGCUAGCAUCACGGCCCUGGUCCUGUAAGUGAGGUCAUCUUAGAUCAUCCUGCUCCAGUCAACCCACCAGAAGAUUGCAAGCUUUUGAGUGACCCCAGCACAGUGCCCUGUAUGUAUUAGGUGCUCAAUAUAUUUUGAAUGAAGACACGAUUAGACUGCCAAUGCUUGGGGAGAAAGGCCCAAGGAAGGUGUGGGCUUCAAUGCCGUGUCCUAAAGAACCAGCAACUACGGGCACUUUAAGUGUCCUUCAGCAUCAAGGUGGCUCUCUUUGUCCUUCAGCAUCAAGAUUAGAAGGUAUAAAUCUCAAAAGCAAACUUUCAGCUACACCUUUUCCACUAAUGAUUUAAAGACCAAGCUUUGAAAAGCUGAAGAAGAAAACAAGUGGAUGCCAGUGUUCGGUGAGGGAGGCCACAGCCGCGCGAAAUUUGUUCUAAAAGUAGGUAGCCACAGAUCCGUCUGCACAUAUCCAAGAGGGUUUCCCCCAGGAGGUGGGAAGGCUGGGGAAGGAAUGGACUGUUUAUAUCCAAGGACCUUUUCGUUUGCUUGGAAGAGCUGUUAAAGACUCUGGUAAAUAAAGGAGACUGAACAUAUGGUGAGCCCUCAAUUCAUAGCAGCCAUUAUCACUGUUGUUAUUAACAUUAUUUUAUCCUCAUCCUCGGGUUCUAGUUUUUCCCCC
This 2054-nucleotide long non-coding RNA is filed under the name Equus caballus (horse). RNAcentral describes it as "lncRNA (ENSECAG00000048293.1)". The record is from RNAcentral. Lineage: Eukaryota; Metazoa; Chordata; Mammalia; Perissodactyla; Equidae.